GUCCUGUCACUUGAGGGUCCUGUCACUGUGGGGGUUCCUGUCACCGUGGGGGGGUCCUGUCACUUGAGGGUCCUGUCACUGUGGGGGCUCCUGUCACUGUGGUGGUUCCUGUCACCGUGGGGGGGUCCUGUGACUUGAGGGUCCUGUCACCGUGGGGGUCCUGUCAGCGGGGGCCCUUGGCAGUCACGCUGGAGGCGCGAGCAUUUUGUCCUCGUUGGAGGAGCCCGUGUCCAGCUCCCGGGCCCCGUGGGUCCCGCGCAGCCCUACCGGGUGGCGCCCCAAGGGCCGGCCCUCCGCACCGACGUCCUUUCGCUGCAGCGGUGGUGCGCGCGCCGCGCUCUCCCCCGUGGCUGGCUCUCGGCUGCAGCGUGGCGGGCGCGCGGAGGCGGCCUGCUCCCCACACUGACCCACGGCCGCUGCGGCGUCGGGGCCCCAUGGCGCGGGGCCUCGGGGACCGAGGGGCACGUCCUUCGGAGGCGGGGCUG
RNAcentral lists this long non-coding RNA (485 nucleotides) under Equus asinus (donkey). RNAcentral describes it as "lncRNA (ENSEASG00005024795.1)". Lineage: Eukaryota; Metazoa; Chordata; Mammalia; Perissodactyla; Equidae. The record is from RNAcentral.